CUGAAAAUUUUGCUUCUUUGAAGUGAUGCUUUCUUCACAGAAAGCUUUCAAUAAUUUCUUAUGGGCCAAACCAAUCAAAAACUCUAGGUCCUCAGUUUUCUCAUUGGGAAAGACAUUCCCACCAAAAUGGGACAAGAAAUUCAGUUCAAAUCCCGCCUCAGUUGCUAACCGGUGUAACUUGUCCACAGGUGCAAGAUUGAGUGAGAAAUCCAUGAG
RNAcentral lists this long non-coding RNA (216 nucleotides) under Glycine max (soybean). RNAcentral's name for it is "long non-coding RNA (GMAX_LNC001815)". The record is from RNAcentral. Lineage: Eukaryota; Viridiplantae; Streptophyta; Magnoliopsida; Fabales; Fabaceae.